GUGUUUGGGUGUGUACAUCUAUUUCUCUCAACAGGGGGUUGUUUUAGCAUGUAGCUGGCAUAUCCAAAAAAACGGCUCCCAGAAAGUCCUCAUGCUGCUGCUGCUGCUCCUCCUGGUGAUUGUAAGUAGUGAUGGUAAGUUUUGACAACAGCUGUUUUGACAAAUAAGGUAGAGAAUUUCCAACAGGGAGACUAGUCAAGUGAGAGAGAGGCCCUCCUGUGGAUUGUGUUGAUUGGGUAGGUCCAUUGACACCACCCUUCUUUACCAAGAGUGCUGACAACAGUCCAUUCUAUUUCUUUUAAAUUCAAGUCCACCUCCAGCACAAGAAUGAUGAUUAGUUAGUGUAUACAUCAGUUCAUGCGUCAGAAAAAGAGAAGAAAAAAGAAAAUUGCUGGAGCUUGGUACAUAGUGUAUCAAGAAUUAGAUAAUGCAUGGGUGAUGAGUGCCCAUACAUGAUGUAGGAAUGGAGUUAGUCUCCAUUGUAAGAUAACCCUCAUUGUCUUUGUCCCAGAAAUACAUUUUAAAUAAAUAAAAAUAGCUAAUGAGGAGAAUAAUAAAUGGGUGUGCAUUAAUUUGAGUUUGUCUUCAAUAGGUGCAACA
This 600-nucleotide long non-coding RNA is filed under the name Physcomitrium patens. RNAcentral's name for it is "long non-coding RNA (PPAT_LNC002060)". The record is from RNAcentral. Lineage: Eukaryota; Viridiplantae; Streptophyta; Bryopsida; Funariales; Funariaceae.